This is an RNA transcript of Mus musculus (house mouse), 1442 nucleotides long. It is a transcript of the gene named predicted gene 9519, with no coding region annotated. The record is from RefSeq and is a predicted model, not a curated record. The transcript has 6 exons. NCBI's taxonomy places the organism in Eukaryota, Metazoa, Chordata, Mammalia, Rodentia, Muridae.
AUGAAGGUGUCCUCUGUGCUUCACUGCCAGGGAUGUGCCCCAAGUCAGGGGUUUCUGCUCACAACUUUCCUUUUAACCUACUGGCACCUGUCUACCUCUUCCCAAGUCACCAUUGAAUUAGUGCCACCCCAAGUGGUUGAAGGAGAAGAUGUCCUAUUCCUUGUCCACAAAAUGCCAGAAAAUCUUAUGUCCUUAGGCUGGUUCAAAGGGAAGACAGUUAUAAAUUGUGGAAUUUUAAUUUAUGCAACAAACACAAAAGUAACUGUGAUGGGGCCCAGGUACAGUUCUAGAGAGUCCUUGUACAGAAAUGGGUCCCUGUUGAUCCACAAUGUCACCCAAAAGGAUAUAGGAUUCUACACCCUAUGAACCUUAAAUAGCCAUGGAGAUACUAUGUCAACAUCCACAUUCCUCCACGUGAACCGCUUCCUUUGGAACUGUGGGCACCUUGUUGCCUCUGGUCAACCCAGUAUUGAAACAUUGCCACCUAUUGUUCCUGAUGGGAAAGAUGUUUUUGUACAGGUUCGCAAUCUCCCAGAGAAUAUUCUAGGCUUUGCAUGGUUCAGAGGAAUGACCCAGGUCAGGAAACAUCUGAUUGCCCGAUACAUAAUUGUAAGAACCCUGACUAAUACAAUAAUAGAUGAAAAAAUGAAAAGUUUUUCAUUUGGGCCUGCAUACAGUGGUAGAGAGAGACUGUAUACUGAUGGAUCCCUGCUGAUCAAAAAUGUCACUCAGAAGGAUGCUGGAUUGUACACCUUAGCAAUUCUGGGUACAGAUAUGAAGAGUGAAGAAGGACAUGUAGAAAUCCAGGUGGAGAGUCUUGUUUUUCAGUGCUGCAACUCUCUGACUUCUGCCAAAUUCAUUGUUGAGUCUGUGCCAAGGUAUGCUGUUGAAGGGGGAAGUAUUCUCCUUGUUCAUUAUCUACCAGAAGAGCUGAGAUCCUUCUCCUGGUACUACUCAAUAUAUACGGUCCCAGCCUUUAAAAUUGUAGACUACCAUGUAAUAAGGAAAAUCACCACCUGGAGUGAUGCAUACAGAGGAAGAGGAAUGUUGUACGCUCCAGGAUGUCACUGAGGAAGAUGCAAGAAUGUACACAUUAGAAAUUUUAAAUACAAAUAACAAGGUUAAAAGAGCACACGUGCAGUUUUAUGUAAACAAGAUGGUGACAGACCCCUUCAUUCGAAUCACCAACAGCACAGUCGAUGCACACAGAUCUGUGACCUUCUCCUGUGUUUCACCUGACAUUGGACUCUCCUUUCGUUGGUUCUUUAAUAACCACAAUCUGCAGCCUACAGAUAGGAUAAAGCUGUCUCCAUCAAAGUGUGGAGUCAGAAUUGAUGAUGUCAGAUUUGAGGAUGUUGGAGUGUACCAUUGUUUGGUCAUGAACCGAGCUGGUAUAGGAGUGGCCAGUCUUCCAGUCAGAUGGCCUUGAUGAAUGAGCACCC